This 371-nucleotide ribosomal RNA is filed under the name uncultured Lactobacillus sp. Its description in RNAcentral is "bacterial SSU rRNA". It matches the Rfam family "Bacterial small subunit ribosomal RNA", at positions 180 to 526 of the family's 1533-position model. Lineage: Bacteria; Bacillati; Bacillota; Bacilli; Lactobacillales; Lactobacillaceae. The record is from RNAcentral.
CAGAUGAUGCCUAUCAACUGUUUAAAAGUAUGGUUCUGCUAUCACUCUUGGGAUGGGACCUGCGGUGCAUUAGCUAGUUGGUAGGGGUAAAUGGCCUACCAAGGCGAUGAUGCAUAGCCGAGUUUGAGAGACUGAUCGGCCACAUUGGGACUGAGACACGGCCCAAACUCCUACGGGAGGCAGCAGUAGGGGAAUCUUCCACAAUGGACGCAAGUCUGAUGGAGCAAACGCCGCGUGAGUGAAGAAGGGUUUCGGCUCGUAAAGCUCUGUUGUUGGUGAAGAAGGACAGGGGGUAGUAACUGACCUUUGUUUGACGGUAAUCAAUUAGAAAAGUCACGGGCUAACUACGUGCCCAGCAGCCGCGGGUAAAU